This 253-nucleotide ribosomal RNA is filed under the name uncultured bacterium. RNAcentral's name for it is "partial 16S ribosomal RNA". It matches the Rfam family "Bacterial small subunit ribosomal RNA", at positions 524 to 776 of the family's 1533-position model. The record is from RNAcentral.
UACGUAGGGGGCAAGCGUUGUCCGGAAUCAUUGGGCGUAAAGAGCGUGUAGGCGGCCAGGUAGGUCUGCUGUGAAAACUCGAGGCUCAACCUCGAGAUGUCGGCGGAAACCAUCUGGCUAGAGUCCGGAGGAGGAGAGUGGAAUUCCUGGUGUAGCGGUGAAAUGCGCAGAUAUCAGGAAGAACACCCGUGGCGAAGGCGGCUCUCUGGGACGGUACUGACGCUGAGGCGCGAAAGCGUGGGUAGCAAACGGG